UUAAGGUGAAACCGCGAAAGGCUCAUUAAAUCAGUUAUGGUUCCUUAGAUCGUACCCACAAUUACUUGGAUAACUGUGGUAAUUCUAGAGCUAAUACAUGCAAACAGAGCUCCGACCGGAGACGGAAGGAGUGCUUUUAUUAGAUCAAAACCAAUCGGUGGCGGGUUCAACGAGCCCGUUAUCGUACAACUUGGUGACUCUGAAUAACUUUACGCUGAUCGCACGGUCAUCGCACCGGCGACGCAUCUUUCAAAUGUCUGCCUUAUCAACUGUCGAUGGUAGGUUCUGCGCCUACCAUGGUCGUAACGGGUAACGGGGAAUCAGGGUUCGAUUCCGGAGAGGGAGCCUGAGAAACGGCUACCACAUCCAAGGAAGGCAGCAGGCGCGCAAAUUACCCACUCCCGGCACGGGGAGGUAGUGACGAAAAAUAACGAUACGGGACUCAUCCGAGGCCCCGUAAUCGGAAUGAGUACACUCUAAACCCUUUAACGAGGAUC
RNAcentral lists this ribosomal RNA (497 nucleotides) under Trigonopterus sp. 588 MB-2015. Its description in RNAcentral is "SSU rRNA". It matches the Rfam family "Eukaryotic small subunit ribosomal RNA", at positions 76 to 545 of the family's 1831-position model. Lineage: Eukaryota; Metazoa; Arthropoda; Insecta; Coleoptera; Curculionidae. The record is from RNAcentral.